GAUGAACGCUGGCGGCGUGCCUAAUACAUGCAAGUCGAGCGAACGGACGAGAAGCUUGCUUCUCUGAUGUUAGCGGCGGACGGGUGAGUAACACGUGGAUAACCUACCUAUAAGACUGGGAUAACUUCGGGAAACCGGAGCUAAUACCGGAUAAUAUUUUGAACCGCAUGGUUCAAAAGUGAAAGACGGUCUUGCUGUCACUUAUAGAUGGAUCCGCGCUGCAUUAGCUAGUUGGUAAGGUAACGGCUUACCAAGGCAACGAUGCAUAGCCGACCUGAGAGGGGGAUCGGCCACACUGGAACUGAGACACGGUCCAGACUCCUACGGGAGGCAGCAGUAGGGAAUCUUCCGCAAUGGGCGAAAGCCUGACGGGGCAACGCCGCGUGAGUGAUGAAGGUCUUCGGAUCGUAAAACUCUGUUAUUAGGGAAGAACAUAUGUGUAAGUAACUGUGCACAUCUUGACGGUACCUAAUCAGAAAGCCACGGCUAACUACGU
Molecule: ribosomal RNA, 496 nt
Filed under: uncultured bacterium
Lineage: Bacteria
Description: partial 16S ribosomal RNA
Rfam family: Bacterial small subunit ribosomal RNA
Source: RNAcentral